Molecule: long non-coding RNA, 473 nt
Filed under: Bos taurus (domestic cattle)
Lineage: Eukaryota; Metazoa; Chordata; Mammalia; Artiodactyla; Bovidae
Description: long non-coding RNA NONBTAT020370
Source: RNAcentral
ACAUCAUCUUAAGAAUUCUUACAGUGCAGAGCAGUGAGAAAUGGUGGCCAAGACUACUGGCUUAACAAAAAAAUGGCCGUGGAAGUUACCUGUAUCUGCAAACUUGGAAAGAAUGUCUUGUCACAAUCUCCUGCAAAAAUGUCAGCUUAGUCUUAUUCUCAAUGGUUGGCCACUCCUGUAUGUGUGAACAUUUUGCUAUUUUGAAUCACAUUAAGGGCAAUAAAUACACAAAUCAUUGGAAGAUGCAAUAAAAGUUGGCAGCAGCUGAAUAACAUUAUACCCUAAAAGAGAAUGACAGAGUCUGGUACCAGGUCUCAGCUAUGCAAGAAAUGGAGUUAAGGAAUAUGGUAGGCAUACUCAGGUAACUGCCUGAGCAGCUAAAGGAAGUCUGAGUGUGGGCAUGACCUCAUUUCAGUGUCUCAUCUUCAUGAGUCAGGGUGGACCCUUCUAGAAAGAGCUCAGUUCCUUAAAAA